GAAUUGGUCCUUCGGGAUUAAUUUAGUGGCGAACGGGUGAGUAAGACGUGCUUAAUCUACCCUUAAAUCGGGAAUACACACUGGAAACGGUGAAUAAUACCCGAUGUGUUUUUUAAAACGCAUGUUUUAAAAAACAAAGCAACUUCUGGUUGUGUUUAAGGAUGAGAGCGCGUCGCAUUAGAUUGUUGGUGGGGUAAUGGCCUACCAAGUUAAUGAUGCGUAGCUGGACUGAGAGGUUGAACAGCCACACUGGGAUUGAGAUACGGCCCAGACUCCUACGGGAGGCAGCAGUAAGGAAUUUUUCACAAUGGGCGCAAGCCUGAUGAAGCAAUACCGCGUGAUUGAUGGAGGUUUUCGGAUCGUAAAAAUCUGUGGUAAAGAAAGAAGAUCAAUUCGAAGAAAAGCGAAUUGGUUUGACGGUACUUUACUAGAAAGUCACGACUAAUUACGUGCCAGCAGUCGCGGUAAUACGUGAGUGGCGAGUGUUAUCCGGAAUUAUUGGGCGUAAAGUAUGCGUAGAUGGUGAAAUAAGUCACAGGUUUAAAAAUGGAGCUCAACUCCAUAGCGCUUGUGAUACUGUUUUACUAGAGGGUAGAAGAUGUUAGUGGAAUUUCAUAUGUAGCGGUGGAAUGCGUGGAUAUAUGAAGGAACACCAAUAGCGAAGGCGACUAACAGGUCUAUUCCUGACAUUGAGGCAUGAGAGCGCGGGGAGCAAAUCGGAUUAGAUACCCGAGUAGUCCGCGCCGUAAACGCUGGGUACUAGAUAUUGUCACUUAAGAGAAUGUCGAAGUUAACACGUUAA
Molecule: ribosomal RNA, 802 nt
Filed under: uncultured marine bacterium
Lineage: Bacteria
Description: bacterial SSU rRNA
Rfam family: Bacterial small subunit ribosomal RNA
Source: RNAcentral